CUGGAAAUACAGCUGAGAGCCUCUGUUGACAGAUGGAUGCCUUCUUAAUCACAGCCUGUGACACCCACAUGACUAGGAGGAGGCAGAAAGUGAAUAGGGAGCUCUUAUUACUUUUUGAGUGUCAGCAAGUUAAGACAUCAUCUCCAGAAAACUGUGCUAGUUGGCAUCCAGCAGUGCCCAAGUAUUAUUUAACCCACUAGAACCUGUGACUGCAUCAGCUUUAUAUCCUGGACCUCAGCCUGGAACAAAGGAGAGCUACACUUGGAUACUAAACACAAGUGGUCUGGAUAGAUUAUGCUGGGAAAAGAAGCCUGGAGCAGGCAGUACAGUGGGAGAACAAGUGAAAUCACUCCUUAUACUUGGGGGAAAAUGACAAGAAACGACAGCCACGGAAUCUUCCUCUGGAUAUGAGAACAAAAAUAGCUGUCAGAAUAAAUAGUGGCCACACCCAUGUCACUUCUUCAUGAGGUGACUUGGUGACUUCACAAGAUAGGCCCCACCCCACCCAUAUGAAAUGAGCACCAUCUGGGCUGACCUCCUCUUUCGGGGUCUGUAAUUACUGUACAAAGAUGCAGGUGCGUCUAUGAAAGCGAACUUUGUCGAGAUCUCAGUGACACACUCUGCUUUUCCAAAUUGCCUCAAUUGGCAGUGAAUAUUAGAAAGAGUCAUGGAAUGUCUCUGGAAAGAUACAUAGGAGAACUAGUGACAUUGGAUCCUUGUGGGUAGGGAGACACUGUGUAAGUGCAUCAAAGAGGCUGACUUUUCACUGUGCACACUCCUUCAGACCACUGGAAAUUCGGAAUUGUAUACGGUGUGCAUGUAUUACCUCCUUAAAACUAGCUAGCUACCUAUCUACCUACCUACCUACCCACCCACCUACCUUCCUACCUGGCUAAUUCAUUAGCUAAGUAAAUUAAUAAGGUGUUAAAAAAAAAGAAAAGCCAAAUAACUGGAAACACUGAGAUCUUCCUCUGUUGCUAUUUAGCUAACUGUUCAAUUUAACUCUUAAAUAAGUUAUUUCCUCCGAGUUUUUUUUUCUUUUCUUCCACAGAAACUCUGCACCUAAGCAACACUGGUUUCCUUGUUCUUCCCCAAACAUGCCAGGCACAUCCCAGCCUCAGCUUCUUUGCAAAAACAAUUUCCAAUGCCUGGAAAAAUCUUGUUUUUGUUAUCUCCAUGGCUCGCAUUUUGCUUAGUUUAAGUCUUGACUCAAAUAUCACUUUCUCAAUAAGGCCUACCUUGACUGUCCUAUUUAAAAUUGCAAACUUAACACCCCAGAAUUCCUCAUAUCCAUUUUAUCUUUCAUAGUAAUGAUCUUCUUCUUUUUUUUUUUUUUUUUGAGAUGGAGUUUUGCUCUUGUCGCCCAGUCUGGAGUGCAAUGGCAUGAUCUUGGUUCACCGCAAUCUCUGCCCCCAGGUUCAAGGGAUUCUCCUGCCUCAGCCACCUGAGUAGUUGGGAUUACAGGCAUGUGCCACCAUGCCUGGGUAAUUUUGUAUUUUUAGGUGAGAUGGGGUUUCUCCAUGUUGGUCAGGCUGGUCUCAAACUCCUGACCUCAGGUGAUCCACCCGCCUCGGCCUCCCAAAGUGCUGGGAUUACAGGCAAGCCACUGCACCCAGCCAUAAUGAUCUUCUUUUUAAAGUACUAUAUAAGCAUCUUAGUACUUAACAUCUUUAUUGUCUAUAUCAAACUCUAAAACCAAGCUCCAUGAAGGCAAGGAUUUGUCUUCAAAUCUUUUGCUCUCUGUUACUUCCCCCAGCAUCUAAGUACUGCUUAGCACUUACAGCUUUUCAAGAAAUAAUUGCUGAGUAAAUAAAAGAACUAAUGAGUUUUGCUUU
Molecule: long non-coding RNA, 1835 nt
Organism: Homo sapiens (human)
Lineage: Eukaryota; Metazoa; Chordata; Mammalia; Primates; Hominidae
Product: long intergenic non-protein coding RNA 1013
Source: Ensembl